This 444-nucleotide ribosomal RNA is filed under the name uncultured Bacteroidota bacterium. RNAcentral describes it as "bacterial SSU rRNA". It matches the Rfam family "Bacterial small subunit ribosomal RNA", at positions 917 to 1359 of the family's 1533-position model. The record is from RNAcentral. Lineage: Bacteria; Pseudomonadati; Bacteroidota.
GGGCCCGCACAAGCGGAGGAACAUGUGGUUUAAUUCGAUGAUACGCGAGGAACCUUACCCGGGCUCGAACGGCAUUUGAAUGAUGGGGAAACUUAUCAGCUAUUUAUAGCAGAUGUCGAGGUGCUGCAUGGUUGUCGUCAGCUCGUGCCGUGAGGUGUCGGCUUAAGUGCCAUAACGAGCGCAACCCUUACUGUUAGUUACCAUCAGGUAAAGCUGGGGACUCUAGCGGGACUGCCACCGUAAGGUGAGAGGAAGGUGGGGAUGACGUCAAAUCAGCACGGCCCUUACGUCCGGGGCGACACACGUGUUACAAUGGAUGGGACAGCAGGCAGCUACACAGCGAUGUGAUGCGAAUCUUAGUAAACCCAUUCUCAGUUCGGAUCGGAGUCUGCAACUCGACUCCGUGAAGCUGGAUUCGCUAGUAAUCGCGCAUCAGCCAUGGCG